CCAAAGCCUAUUCUUCAAACUCCUGCAUCACCACCACCUGACAAUGCUGUACUAUCUGCACCACCUAAUGCCAUUCAGUUAGCACAGGUCAUUCAGGAUUCAAUCUCAAUGAACAGACUUCCCAUGCCAGAGCCAACAGUGUUCACAGGUGAGCCAGUCCACUUUGUUGAAUGGAAGGCCUUGUUUAUGUCACUGAUGGAUCAAAAAAGCAUCUCCUCUGCUGACAAAUUCUACUAUCUUAAACGAUAUGUUAGUGGCCAGGCCCGUAGAUGCCUUGAAGGCACAUUCUUUAGAAACGACGAUGAAGCAUAUCAAGAUGCCUGGAGAAGACUUUACCAGCGGUACGGUCAGCCAUUUGUCAUUCAAAGGGCAUUCAGAGAAAAAUUAACAAGCUGGCCAUAAGUACAAGCCAAGGAUGCAGGUCUCAGAAACUUUGCAGAUUUUUUAAAUGCCUGCUUACAAGCCAUGCCUAAUUUUAAAGGUCUUCACAUAUUAAAUGACUGUGAAGAAAACCAUAAACUGACUCAGAAGUUACCUGACUGGGCAGCAGCCAGGUGGAAUCGUCAGGUUACAAAGGCCCUAAUGGAAGGAAAGGAUUUUUCAGGUUUCAGUGCCUUUGCCACUUUUGUGUCAACAGAAGCAGAGAUUGCCUGCAACCCAAUCACCUCUAUCCAUGCACUACGUUCACCAGAACCUCGUAGUGACAAGGGAAAUGUAAAGGAAUUAAAAAGAAACAAAGCUAGUGUCUUCAGUACCCAAGGUUCCUCAGAUUGUGACAAGCAAGCAGCAGUCACCUCAAAUGUAAAAUCAUUGUGCAGGUUAUGCCAAGAUACCCGUCAACUACACAAGUGCCCAAACCUUCUAAAAAGGUCCCUAGUAAACUGCAGGGCAUACAUUAAAGAGCCCAUAUCAUGCAAAAUCCACUUUUUAGACAUUUUGGAGCGUCCCUAUGACUCUAUGGGUCACAUAUACACACACUGAGCACGGUAGAAAUGCAUUUCCUGCUUUUUUCACAUUUUGAAAACGUAAAUUUUCUCAUCCAAUGAAAACAGCCACGACCUACUCUGAGGCCGUGUCCCAGUUGUCGUCACACUGGUUGAAAGUUCUCCUUGCAAAUCCUGAACCACCACCCCCACAAUGAUCCCGAACCAAAACUGGACUUCCGCCAUUUCCCCCCUCUCACUCACCGUGAACAGACCAGCACGGCAGCGCCCAAGUCCUCCCAUAGAAAUAGUUCGGUUCUUAGGUGUUCUAACCAACACCAAAGUCUCUUCACUUUACCAAGGGAUUAACAAGUGAGGAUUUGUGGGUCACUUUUAUUUUUAACGGACCGGUGCCAGAAACACUGCCUCAGCAUUUAUACGUAUGUGCAUUUCAAACGAGGGUGCGUACAAUGCUGGAUUUGUUUCACGGCUCCUGUUGGAAAAAAAGGACCUAUUCCUAAAGUCCGUCAUCCACUCACUGAAGAGGGCAAAUCCCAGUUGCCCACAUGCAAGGAGGCUGUCAAACAGAGAAAUCACUGCAGACUGUUGGUACACAGACAUCUGCUGCCCAGCUCAGGAGUAAAGGUAUGUAAGUUUGUAUGUACCAACAGUAAGAUAGGUAAUAGAAGAUUUUAAUUGGUAUAUACUGUUUAGAUUUUAUAUUUGAAUUGUAACAACUGUUUAUCUGUUGUUUUAGCACAGACAGGCCUGUCCUCUUGUUUGGUUUAAUUUUUUGUCUGGUAUUGUGUGUUCUUACAUUAGAGAAGGUUUUGACCUACAUAAUAAUUAACAUUUCACUAAUCUACAAUUCUGAUUGCACUACCUUUUGUUUUGAUGAGGUGAUGGUGAGGACAGCCACAGCUUCCAUCUGGUAGAGGACUGCUUCCGCUCAGUCUUCCAAAUAGUGAUGAGAACAAGGAUCACCACAUCUCCCUGUUUACCCUACUUUCAUGCAUUUCGUCUGCAAGGCCCUGCAAAAGCUUCUCCUUCGUCCUCAAACCCCCAGACUUCUUAAUUAACUCAGUAACCUAUACAUUGCACAUUGGAGUGUGAAGGUAACAGUUUGUUCUAGCUUUGGAGUAGUGGUGUAUUUUUUUGGUUUACAAUAAAGUUGGCUUUAACUAUUA
Molecule: long non-coding RNA, 2110 nt
Organism: Betta splendens (Siamese fighting fish)
Lineage: Eukaryota; Metazoa; Chordata; Actinopteri; Anabantiformes; Osphronemidae
Exons: 2
Source: RefSeq, a predicted model, not a curated record